RNAcentral lists this transfer RNA (72 nucleotides) under Camelus bactrianus (Bactrian camel). It matches the Rfam family "tRNA". From Rfam's summary of the family: Transfer RNA (tRNA) molecules are approximately 80 nucleotides in length. The record is from Rfam by way of RNAcentral. Lineage: Eukaryota; Metazoa; Chordata; Mammalia; Artiodactyla; Camelidae. RNAcentral also lists the same sequence under 2 other names.
GAGGGCGUAGCUUAAUGGUAGAGCACAUGCUUAGCAUGCACGAAGUCCUGGGUUCAAUCCCCAGUACCUCCG